AGAUUGAACGCUGGCGGCAUGCCUUACACAUGCAAGUCGAACGGCAGCGCGGGAGCAAUCCUGGCGGCGAGUGGCGAACGGGUGAGUAAUACAUCGGAACGUGCCCAAUCGUGGGGGAUAACGCAGCGAAAGCUGUGCUAAUACCGCAUACGAUCUACGGAUGAAAGCGGGGGACCUGCAAGGGCCUCGCGCGAUUGGAGCGGCUGAUGGCAGAUUAGGUAGUUGGUGGGGUAAAAGCUUACCAAGCCUGCGAUCUGUAGCUGGUCUGAGAGGACGACCAGCCACACUGGGACUGAGACACGGCCCAGACUCCUACGGGAGGCAGCAGUGGGGAAUUUUGGACAAUGGGCGCAAGCCUGAUCCAGCAAUGCCGCGUGCAGGAUGAAGGCCUUCGGGUUGUAAACUGCUUUUAUCUGUGACGAAUAUGACGGUAGCAGAUGAAUAAGGAUCGGCUAACGUCCGUG
Molecule: ribosomal RNA, 464 nt
Filed under: uncultured bacterium
Lineage: Bacteria
Description: SSU rRNA
Rfam family: Bacterial small subunit ribosomal RNA
Source: RNAcentral